RNAcentral lists this ribosomal RNA (489 nucleotides) under Dactylopius opuntiae. RNAcentral describes it as "SSU rRNA". It matches the Rfam family "Eukaryotic small subunit ribosomal RNA", at positions 54 to 449 of the family's 1831-position model. Lineage: Eukaryota; Metazoa; Arthropoda; Insecta; Hemiptera; Dactylopiidae. The record is from RNAcentral.
CAUGUCUCAGUGCAAGCCGUCCCGUACGGUGAAACCGCGAAAGGCUCAGUAAAUCAGUUAUGGUUCCUUAGAUUGUACCCACAUUUGUGUUACUUGGAUAACUGUGGUAAUUCUAGAGCUAAUACAUGCCGACAGAGUUCCGACCAGCGCCGGGUGUAUUAGGCUUCGCGCCGACGCCUGGUGUUCGGAAGGAACGCUCUUAUUAGAUCAAAACCGGCCAAACAGUGUAGCGAACGCGUUUUCGAACGCGUUCGCGCUGUAAGCGGCCCGCGCAAAGACUUGACGACUCUGAAUAAUUUCGAGCUGAUCGCACGGUCUUGGUACCGGCGACGUAUCUUUCAAAUGUCUGCCUUAUCAACUGUCGACGGUAGGUUCGAUGCCUACCGUGGUGGUAACGGGUAACGGGGAAUCAGGGUUCGAUUCCGGAGAGGGAGCCUGAGAAACGGCUACCACAUCCAAGGAAGGCAGCAGGCGCGCAAAUUACCCACU